RNAcentral lists this ribosomal RNA (406 nucleotides) under uncultured bacterium. RNAcentral's name for it is "partial 16S ribosomal RNA". It matches the Rfam family "Bacterial small subunit ribosomal RNA", at positions 30 to 526 of the family's 1533-position model. The record is from RNAcentral.
AUUGAACGCUGGCGGCAGGCCUAACACAUGCAAGUCGAACGAGUGGCGGACGGGUGAGUAAUGUCUGGGAAACUGCCUGAUGGAGGGGGAUAACUACUGGAAACGGUAGCUAAUACCGCAUACCAUCGGAUGUGCCCAGAUGGGAUUAGCUAGUAGGUGGGGUAAAGGCUCACCUAGGCCACGAUCCCUGGCUGGUCUGAGAGGAUGACCAGCCACACUUGAACUGAGACACGGUCCAGAGUCCUACGGGAGGCAGAAGUGGGGAAUAUUGGACAAUGGGCGCAAGCCUGAGGCAGCCAUGCGGCGUGUGUGAAGAAGGCCUUCGGGUUGUAAAGUACUUUCAGCGGGGAGGUGUUACCCGCAGAAGAAGCACCGGCUAACUACGUGCCAGCAGCCGCGGUAAUAC